CCUCCCUCUUAAAUCAGUUCAUUUCUGGGAAAGAGCUUUCUUCCAUAAAAUGGGCUGACACCAUUCCUUUAACGUCUGUUGAGGGAUUCUAGCUCUUCCUGGUAGAGCCACUGACUACCAAAUUUCUUCCCUUCUGCACACCAGACCCUACCCUGAGGACAGCCACUAGAUGCCAGCUCAGUCUCUCUCCUUUGGGUUCCAUCCCUCAGUUCUUUUAGCCAUUUCGUGUGUGUUGUGUUGUGCAGUCCGUCACCCUGUCAAUCACUCUCAGAACCUCCCUCCUCCCACAAUGCAGCUGGAGCGAGGCUGGGGGCGGGGGGCGGGUUCUGCUUUCUGCUGUGCUCCUUUCUGAAAUCAACAUGCCAGAGACCCCUGGCUUUGCCUGUCAAGCAUGCCUUUCUACUUCCUGAGUAAAAGCACAUUAGUUACCCAUAAGGAAAGUAGUCUUAUUCUCAAGAGUCCGGGGUCUCCCUGGCCCCUCCCUCAGGGCCAGCUGAAGCCCUCUGGACUCUGGCUCCUGGAGUUCCAGCCUUUGGGGGAAUGAUGUAACAGAAAUCAGAGGAGCAGAGAAACCCCAUUGGCUACAUUCGUGGGGAAGGCGGGUCUUCUUCCUGAGGCUUGGCUCUUCAGCAGUCAACAAUUAUUCCUCCCCUUUCUAGAAAAUUCCUUUUGGAUUAAGGGAGAGUCCAUUUCGGUUGCUUGUAACAGAAGAGCUCAAAGCCAAAUUACCCGACCCUGCCCCAGUCCUGACAGAUCACUGGGAACCAGACUUCUCCAUCUGUCUCACAGAUCAUGUGUAUCAUGUCCUGUUGUCUGCUGAUCGGGCCAACUUGCCAUCAAGGUCUCCAAUCAAAUGACCAGCAAAAACGCAUUGUGGUGUCCCCAGAGCCUUCCAAGAAUGGGUCAACACAGCUCUGCAGGGGGAGAGGCAAGGCAGAGCCUGCAGAUUGUACCAGCACGAAAAAGCAACUGGAUGCAAGGAGGCGCAGCAGCCGUGGGGAGCGUGCAGGGGUUUCUCACCAUCUACAAAGCGGUUUUGACUCACACAGCCUUAAUUAGCAUCCGUGAUAUCCCACAGCGUGCGUAUAAGUGCUACUUCCAUCUGAUAGACAAGAAAACUGGCGUCCAAAGAGGGGAAGAACUUCUCUAUAUAGAAAGUUAAAGGCAGGGCUAGCCUUAAACCUGUCUUUUUAAAACCUGCUGUAUGAGUUCCAUCCAGUAAGACACAGCUCUUCAGUGUUCAGUUUGAUGAACACAAGGUAAACACCUGAACCUUGGGAAGCCCUGGAUUAUGUUGUGUGGAGCAGGAACCCUGCCUGGGCUCAGGCAGACCCUGGCUAGACCUGGUCUUGCCGUGUGGAGGAAUAUAACCAGGAGAUGUUGACUACAGACUGGAGCAGGAAAGUAGGAUUUAUUGAAAGGCAAAGGGAUGGUAUACACUGAGAUGUGAGUAUGUUGCAGCCAUCCAGAGAGUGAAUGAGUGGAUGGAAGACCUCUCUCCUCUCUCUCUCUUUCUCUCUGCCUCUGUGUAGCUCUGCCUUUCAAAUAAAUAAAUCUUAAGAAAAAAAAGUUUAAAAAAUAUAUAAAAGAAUUUGGCUCUGAGAUAAAGAACGUGGAAUUGGGGGAGAGUGUUGUAGUGGCUGGCAAAGCUGCCUGCCCCUUGGGACUUCCACGUCCCUGUACAGAGUACCGGUGAGUCCCGGCUACUCUGCUGCUGCUGAUCCAGGUUCCGGCUUACACAUCCUGGUGAUGCAGGCAAGGCAGGGAGUCAGGAAGGGAUGGGGCUCGAGGGGUUGCCAACACCCAAGCCAUGUGCGCCCAAAUCCCAUCACUUCCUGUGCUGAUUCAACCUCUUCUUCUUGCAACUAAGCCUCACUUCCCAGAGGAGCACCACCUUCCUGGAGACCACCACGCUGGUGCUGCUGCAGCCCCACCCCAAAUCCUGUCAACUGUGCAUCUUCAGUCAGGUCCUAUCCUAUAAAGGAUCCAUCCCCACCCUAUAAAAGGACCGCCCCAGCCUGGAUGGGGGCGGGGCAAUUCUCCCUCUUGAAAUUGCUCACAGCCACGAGAGUGUGUACCUUUUUGCCUUUCAAUAAAUCCUACUUUUCUAUUCAUCUCUGAGUCUCCUGAUUAUUUUCCUCUAUGUGGGGGAUAAGA
Molecule: long non-coding RNA, 2157 nt
Organism: Oryctolagus cuniculus (rabbit)
Lineage: Eukaryota; Metazoa; Chordata; Mammalia; Lagomorpha; Leporidae
Source: RefSeq, a predicted model, not a curated record